RNAcentral lists this ribosomal RNA (380 nucleotides) under uncultured eukaryote. RNAcentral describes it as "partial 18S ribosomal RNA". It matches the Rfam family "Eukaryotic small subunit ribosomal RNA", at positions 592 to 976 of the family's 1831-position model. The record is from RNAcentral.
CAAUAGCGUAUAUUAAAGUUGUUGCGGUUAAAAAGCUCGUAGUUGGAUUUCUGCUGAGGAUGACCGGUCCGCCCUCUGGGCAGGUAUCUGGCUCAGCCUUGGCAUCUUCCUGAAGAACGCAGCUGCACUUGACUGUGUGGUGCGGUAUUUAGGACAUUUACUUUGAGGAAAUUAGAGUGUUUCAAGCAAGCGCACGCCUUGAAUACAUUAGCAUGGAAUAAUAAGAUAGGACCUCGGUUCUAUUUUGUUGGUUUCUAGAACUGAGGUAAUGAUUGAUAGGGAUAGUUGGGGGCAUUCGUAUUUAACUGUCAGGGGUGAAAUUCUUGGAUUUGUUAAAGACGGACUACUGCGAAAGCAUUUGCCAAGGAUGUUUUCAUUGA